Molecule: non-coding RNA, 182 nt
Filed under: Pseudothermotoga thermarum
Lineage: Bacteria; Thermotogati; Thermotogota; Thermotogae; Thermotogales; Thermotogaceae
Also listed under: 1 other name
Source: RNAcentral
AAUAUUCGAGCGCCAGAGGGUACCCGCAAGGGUUUAAAGGGGAAGCCGGUGAAAAUCCGGCGCGGGUCCGCCACCGUAACCGGGGACGAAAUCCACGUGAUGCCACUGGCUUUUAAGCCGGGAAGGCGUGGAGAGUAGGAUGAUCCGGGAGCCGGGAGACCUGCCCCUGGUCAAUUGACCAU